GAAGCGUGGGUGGCGGGUUUGGCGGUGGUUUUGGCGGUAGCGCCGGCAGCAGCGGCAGUUCCAGUGGCGGCACUCAAGGGUGAAAAGGACGCUGCACUAUGGCCAUCUAAAGCACAAGUAAUUAACACAUUUUCCUUAUGCAGGUAGAAACCAUACUAACACAAUGUUUGAAAUAAAUGUGAAAUUGAAAGA
This is a long non-coding RNA of Cydia fagiglandana, 192 nucleotides long. RefSeq lists it as uncharacterized. The record is from RefSeq and is a predicted model, not a curated record. NCBI's taxonomy places the organism in Eukaryota, Metazoa, Arthropoda, Insecta, Lepidoptera, Tortricidae. The transcript has 2 exons.